UCAAACUUGGUCAUUUAGAGGAAGUAAAAGUCGUAACAAGGUUUCCGUAGGUGAACCUGCGGAAGGAUCAUUAUUGAAUACGAUUGGGACUGAUGCUGGUUCAGUUAACGCUGGACACUGUGCUCGUCUCAUAUCUUAUUUAUCAACCUUUUGUGCACCAACUGUGGUUCUUGGAUCUAGAUACUUAUUGAAGCACAUCUCGCAUUCAGUUGCGGUUUCGAGAGGCUUGUCCUCUUGCAGCUUCUUGGGGGACAAUGUGAGGCAACUUGCGUUCGGCCCCUGCUUUCAAAAUCUAAGGACCAUGUCUUACAUACGUUAUAAAGUUAUAGAAUGUCUUCUUACUCGACCGUAAAAAGUCAGUAAACCAAUACAACUUUCAGCAACGGAUCUCUUGGCUCUCCCAUCGAUGAAGAACGCAGC
This 420-nucleotide unclassified non-coding RNA is filed under the name uncultured fungus. Its description in RNAcentral is "partial contains small subunit ribosomal RNA, internal transcribed spacer 1, and 5.8S ribosomal RNA". The stretch from base 1 to 73 matches the Rfam family "Eukaryotic small subunit ribosomal RNA", at positions 1759 to 1831 of the family's 1831-position model. Lineage: Eukaryota; Fungi. The record is from RNAcentral.